CACCCAAGCUACAAAUACCAAUAAAAUUGCUAUUGCAAAACCCAUUAUUCUUUUGCAAAUGUUUGAUUUUUUCGAGCCUCUAUUCCUUUCAGCUUCAUGCUCCUUUAUUCUUGACUAUAAACCAAGAAUCACAUUCUUCAAAUGCUUAAGCACAGGAGGAUCAUACAAUGAGAAAAAAACCACAGGCCACAUAAAUCUUCACCUCACAACACAAUAUGAAAAAGAAAAAUGCAAUUACAAUGCAUAAAACAAAAAACCAAACCAAAUUUCAAAGAUUCACAAGUAAAACACUCACCUCAAAAUGUCUACAACCAAAG
RNAcentral lists this unclassified non-coding RNA (317 nucleotides) under Hevea brasiliensis (rubber tree). The record is from RNAcentral. Lineage: Eukaryota; Viridiplantae; Streptophyta; Magnoliopsida; Malpighiales; Euphorbiaceae.